GACGAACGCCGGCGGCGCGCUUAACAUAUGUAAGCCGAAUGGAAAGGCCCUGCUUUUGUGGGGUGCUCGAGUGGCGAACGGGUGAGUAACACGUGAGUAACCUGCCAUUGACUUUGGGAUAACUUCAGGAAACUGGGGCUAAUACCGGAUAGGAGCUCCUGCUGCAUGGUGGGGGUUGGAAAGUUUCGGCGGUUGGGGAUGGACUCGCGGCUUAUCAGCUUGUUGGUGGGGUAGUGGCUUACCAAGGCUUUGACGGGUAGCCGGCCUGAGAGGGUGACCGGCCACAUUGGGACUGAGAUACGGCCCAGACUCCUACGGGAGGCAGCAGUGGGGAAUAUUGCACAAUGGGCGGAAGCCUGAUGCAGCAACGCCGCGUGCGGGAUGACGGCCUUCGGGUUGUAAACCGCUUUCGCCUGUGACGAAGCGUGAGUGACGGUAAUGGGUAAAGAAGCACCGGCUAACUACGUG
RNAcentral lists this ribosomal RNA (468 nucleotides) under uncultured bacterium. RNAcentral's name for it is "partial 16S ribosomal RNA". It matches the Rfam family "Bacterial small subunit ribosomal RNA", at positions 28 to 507 of the family's 1533-position model. The record is from RNAcentral.